Ciona savignyi (Pacific transparent sea squirt) is the source of this 74-nucleotide non-coding RNA. NCBI's taxonomy places the organism in Eukaryota, Metazoa, Chordata, Ascidiacea, Phlebobranchia, Cionidae. The record is from Rfam.
GUCUCUGUGGCGCAAUUGGAUAGCGCGUUCGGCUGUUAACCGAAAGGUUGCUGGUUCAAGCCCAGCCAGGGACG